This 929-nucleotide long non-coding RNA is filed under the name Olea europaea (common olive). RNAcentral's name for it is "long non-coding RNA (OEUR_LNC006750)". The record is from RNAcentral. Lineage: Eukaryota; Viridiplantae; Streptophyta; Magnoliopsida; Lamiales; Oleaceae.
GCUACAACUUUAAGGUUGCAAACCCAAGUGCAGGUUGUCGCAAGUAGUAAAUCUCGGAAGUCCGAGGUCGAACCACAGGGAAUUGGAAGGAAACAAACUAUUCUAUGAGUAGUGAACGAUUGGUGGAAAUACGAUUGAGACGAACACUAGAGCGUCGGGGAUUCACUUCGGAUAAAUGAGUAGAAAUUGCCCUUGAUCUUUAAUUUAACUCAUAUGAAAAUCAACUAAGGAGUGAUCUCAUAUGGAAGAUAAAACAUUGAUCACAAAUAUAUUGAAAGAUAGAUCUUGAUAAUUGUUUGAGAGAAUAUGUCAAAAUUAGUUGUUGGUAUGUAGAGAUUAUCUAAGCAUUUAUUGUGCCAAAAUUGUCAACAAUAAAUCAAAGUCUUUAACAAACCAAAACCAUUUGUAGAACACAAACUUCAACCAAGUAAGAAGAUGAACAUUGAAGAACAAAAUGAAAGAUCAAAGACAAUACUAAACAUUCAUCAAAGUUUCACCCUUAGCUCUAGCUAAAUGUUUAGAAAUACAUAGUGAAAUGUUACAAAGAAAAUGAAGGAAACUAGAAUAUGGUGGAGAGAAUUGAUGCUUCAAAAUCGUGGCCAAGGUCCCCUUUUAUAGGCAAAGGAACAUCCAAAAUUCAAGUAGGCAAUGCAACUUGUUUCUUUCCAGCUUCAAGACAGCUGGAACAUGUAACUUGAUGCCAAUUUUCAGAUACAUUGUGCAACGAAUUUGGACAUAUGAUCAACAGACGAAUUAUUACCACUUGAGUUAGCUUUCCAUUGGUUCAAAUAUCAGGUUCAUUGGAUCUAUAUAACUCCAGAUAUGGCAAAAACAAUAAAUGCUGCUUCACAGGUAAAGCUGUAUCCGGCAGGUAACAAGCUGGACUUUGCACGGUAAUUUUUGCUGCCUUUUGAUACGAAUUUGACUUC